GACGAACGCUGGCGGCGUGCUUAACACAUGCAAGUCGAACGAUGAAGCCUAGCUUGCUAGGUGGAUUAGUGGCGAACGGGUGAGUAAUACGUGAGUAACCUACCUUUAACUCUGGGAUAAGCCUGGGAAACUGGGUCUAAUACCGGAUACGACCAAUCUCCGCAUGGGGUGUUGGUGGAAAGCGUUAUGUAGUGGUUAUAGAUGGGCUCACGGCCUAUCAGCUUGUUGGUGAGGUAACGGCUCACCAAGGCGACGACGGGUAGCCGGCCUGAGAGGGUGACCGGCCACGCUGGGACUGAGACACGGCCCAGACUCCUACGGGAGGCAACAGUGGGGAAUAGUGCACAAUGGGCGCAAGCCUGAUGCAGCGACGCCGCGUGGGGGAUGACGGCCUUCGGGUUGUAAACCUCUGUUAGCAGGGAAGAAGAGAAAUUGACGGUACCUGCAGAGAAAGCGCCGGCUAACUACGUG
This 471-nucleotide ribosomal RNA is filed under the name uncultured bacterium. Its description in RNAcentral is "partial 16S ribosomal RNA". It matches the Rfam family "Bacterial small subunit ribosomal RNA", at positions 28 to 507 of the family's 1533-position model. The record is from RNAcentral.